Molecule: ribosomal RNA, 492 nt
Filed under: uncultured bacterium
Lineage: Bacteria
Description: partial 16S ribosomal RNA
Rfam family: Bacterial small subunit ribosomal RNA
Source: RNAcentral
AGUGAACGCUGGCGGUAGGCCUAACACAUGCAAGUCGAACGGCAGCACAGUAAGAGCUUGCUCUUACGGGUGGCGAGUGGCGGACGGGUGAGGAAUACAUCGGAACCUACUUUUUCGUGGGGGAUAACGUAGGGAAACUUACGCUAAUACCGCAUACGACCUACGGGUGAAAGCAGGGGAUCUUCGGACCUUGCGCGAUUGAAUGAGCCGAUGUCGGAUUAGCUAGUUGGCGGGGUAAAGGCCCACCAAGGCGACGAUCCGUAGCUGGUCUGAGAGGAUGAUCAGCCACACUGGAACUGAGACACGGUCCAGACUCCUACGGGAGGCAGCAGUGGGGAAUAUUGGACAAUGGGCGCAAGCCUGAUCCAGCCAUACCGCGUGGGUGAAGAAGGCCUUCGGGUUGUAAAGCCCUUUUGUUGGGAAGGAAAAGCAGCAGGUUAAUACCCCGCUGUUCUGACGGUACCCAAAGAAUAAGCACCGGCUAACUUCGUG